UCACUGGGGAGGGGGCACUGUUUUCUAUAGGAGUGACCUUCCAAGGCCAGCCAGAGAAGUACCUCCUGAGCCCACGGUCAAUGAGGAAGAACUAAGGAAAUGCCUGUUAUGUACUGAAGAAGGCUGCCCAGCUCCAGCCAGGACCAUAAAUAGCUUAAUCCCAGAAGAGACUUUGGAAAUCGGACCCUACCAUGCUGUGCCAAGUGAGGCCUUUGCUAUUUAUGAUGUUCCAAGAUCCUGGAGGAGCAACAGCCCAACUGAAAAUAAUAUGGAUGAGACCUGCCUAGCUCCCAGCCUAAUAUUGAUGAAGACCCGUCCCUAAGAGGGGGCCAACCUCAGAACCACCUGAUUCUCUGGGUUGGACCGACUUGAAACUGAAAUUCUGUACCAUCUCCUAGCUCCCUCUUCUCCUGGAAGGCAGUCCAGAAAAGGAUUUGGCCCACUGUAGUAACAAUUCUCUCUUCUUAACUUUAUGAGCUUCUAAUUUCCUUCUCUUACCCUCUCUGUACUUCUGAGAAUUGUUGUCACCAUUAUUACGUCCCAUCGUUAUUAAAGAGAGAACCAUAUUUUCAAA
This 574-nucleotide long non-coding RNA is filed under the name Monodelphis domestica (gray short-tailed opossum). RNAcentral's name for it is "lncRNA (ENSMODG00000037795.1)". The record is from RNAcentral. Lineage: Eukaryota; Metazoa; Chordata; Mammalia; Didelphimorphia; Didelphidae.